CCUACGGGAGGCUGCAGUGGGGAAUAUUGCACAAUGGGGGAAACCCUGAUGCAGCGACGCCGCGUGAGUGAAGAAGUAAUUCGUUAUGUAAAGCUCUAUCAGCAGGGAAGAAAAUGACGGUACCUGAGUAAGAAGCCCCGGCUAACUACGUGCCAGCAGCCGCGGUAAUACGUAGGGGGCAAGCGUUAUCCGGAUUUACUGGGUGGAAAGGGAGCGUAGACGGCAGUGCAAGUCUGGAGUGAAAGGCGGGGGCUCAACCCCCGGACUGCUCUGGAAACUGUACGGCUGGAGUGCAGGAGAGGUAAGUGGAAUUCCUAGUGUAGCGGUGAAAUGCGUAGAUAGUAGGAGGAACACCAGUGGCGAAGGCGGCUUACUGGACUGUAACUGACGUUGAGGCUCGAAAGCGUGGGGAGCAAACAGGAUUAGAUACCCGAGUAGUC
RNAcentral lists this ribosomal RNA (440 nucleotides) under uncultured bacterium. Its description in RNAcentral is "partial 16S ribosomal RNA". It matches the Rfam family "Bacterial small subunit ribosomal RNA", at positions 338 to 795 of the family's 1533-position model. The record is from RNAcentral.